This 73-nucleotide transfer RNA is filed under the name Bos taurus (domestic cattle). It matches the Rfam family "tRNA". Rfam says of the family: Transfer RNA (tRNA) molecules are approximately 80 nucleotides in length. Their secondary structure includes four short double-helical elements and three loops (D, anti-codon, and T loops). Further hydrogen bonds mediate the characteristic L-shaped molecular structure. tRNAs have two regions of fundamental functional importance: the anti-codon, which is responsible for specific mRNA codon recognition, and the 3' end, to which the tRNAs corresponding amino acid is attached (by aminoacyl-tRNA synthetases). tRNAs cope with the degeneracy of the genetic code in two manners: having more than one tRNA (with a specific anti-codon) for a particular amino acid; and 'wobble' base-pairing, i.e. permitting non-standard base-pairing at the 3rd anti-codon position. RNAcentral also lists the same sequence under 2 other names. The record is from Rfam by way of RNAcentral. Lineage: Eukaryota; Metazoa; Chordata; Mammalia; Artiodactyla; Bovidae.
UCCCUGUUGGUCCAGUGGCUAAGAUUCUGUGUUGCCAAUGCAGCGGGCCCAGGUUCGAUCCCUGGUCUAGGAA